This 1044-nucleotide ribosomal RNA is filed under the name Thoreauomyces humboldtii. RNAcentral describes it as "eukaryotic LSU rRNA". It matches the Rfam family "Eukaryotic large subunit ribosomal RNA", at positions 22 to 979 of the family's 3401-position model. The record is from RNAcentral. Lineage: Eukaryota; Fungi; Chytridiomycota; Chytridiomycetes; Spizellomycetales; Powellomycetaceae.
GUACCCGCUGAACUUAAGCAUAUCAAUAAGCGGAGGAAAAGAAACUAACAAGGAUUCCCCUAGUAACGGCGAGUGAAGCGGGAUGAGCUCAAAUUUGAAAUCUCACGGGCUUUGCCUGUGCGAAUUGUAGUUUAGAGAAACGUUUUCGGGUGCGACUUGGGUAUAAGUUCUCUGGAAAGGGGCAACAUAGAGGGUGAGAUUCCCGUUUAUGACCCAAUGUUCGCGCCUAUGUGAUACGUUUUCCAAGAGUCAGGUAGUUUGGGAUUGCUGCCUAAAAUGGGAGGUAAAUACCUUCUAAAGCUAAAUAUUGGCGAGAGACCGAUAGCGAACAAGUACCGUGAGGGAAAGAUGAAAAGAACUUUGAAAAGAGAGUUAAACAGUACGUGAAAUUGCCAAAAGGGAAACGCUUGGAACCAGUAUUGCCUCCAGGUAAUCAACCUCACGUCUCGCAAGAGGUGCGUGUGGUGCACUUGCCUGUGGGCGGGCCAACAUCAGUUUGGCUCGGGGUAAAAAGCCAGGGAAAGGUAGCUCGAACUUGUUCGAGUGUUAUAGUCUCUGGUAAUGCCUUGGGCUGGACUGAGGUCUGCAGCGUUUUUUGGAUACCCGGUUGCCUCUUGAACCUUUUGUCUAGACAGCAUGCUGACUAGAGAAGCGUCUAGGGAGCCCAGCUGGCUGUAUCACACCAACGCUUAGGAUGUUGGCGAAAUGGUUCCAAACGACCCGUCUUGAAACACGGACCAAGGAGUCUAACAUAUAUGCGAGUAUUUGGGUGGCAAACCCUUAUGCGAAAUGAAAGUGAACUUAGGUGGGAUCUUCGGUGCACCAUCGACCGGUCUGGAUUUUUUAUGAUAGAUCUGAGUAAGAGCAUACAUGUUGGGACCCGAAAGAUGGUGAACUAUGCCUGAAUAGGGUGAAGCCAGAGGAAACUCUGGUGGAGGCUCGUAGCGAUUCUGACGUGCAAAUCGAUCGUCAAAUUUGGGUAUAGGGGCGAAAGACUAAUCGAACCAUCUAGUAGCUGGUUCCCUCCGAAGUUUCCCUCAGGAU